This 568-nucleotide ribosomal RNA is filed under the name Fonsecaea monophora. RNAcentral describes it as "eukaryotic LSU rRNA". It matches the Rfam family "Eukaryotic large subunit ribosomal RNA", at positions 84 to 668 of the family's 3401-position model. The record is from RNAcentral. Lineage: Eukaryota; Fungi; Ascomycota; Eurotiomycetes; Chaetothyriales; Herpotrichiellaceae.
UAACGGCGAGUGAAGCGGCAACAGCUCAAAUUUGAAAUCUGGCCUCUUGGGGUCCGAGUUGUAAUUUGUAGAGGAUGUUUCGGGUACCGCCUCGGUUUAAAUUUCUUGGAACAGAAUGUCAAAGAGGGUGAGAAUCCCGUCUUGGACCGGCGGUAGGGCCUAUGUGAAACUCCUUCGACGAGUCGAGUUGUUUGGGAAUGCAGCUCAAAAUGGGUGGUAAAUUUCAUCUAAAGCUAAAUAUUGGCCAGAGACCGAUAGCGCACAAGUAGAGUGAUCGAAAGAUGAAAAGCACUUUGAAAAGAGAGUUAAACAGUAUGUGAAAUUGUUGAAAGGGAAGCGCUUGCAACCAGACUUGAGCGCGGCGGUUCCCCCUUGCUUCUGCUUGGGUUACUCCGCCGUGUCCAGGCCAACAUCGGUUCUGGGGGUCGGUCAAAGGCUCUGGGAAUGUAUCUACCCACGGGUAGACUUAUAGACCAGGGUGUCAUGCGACCUCCCGGGACCGAGGAACGCGCUUCGGCUCGGAUGUUGGCGUAAUGGUUGUCAGCGACCCGUCUUGAACCACGGACCA